AAUAGAUACCCGGGUAGUCCACGCCGUAAACGAUGAGUGCUAAGUGUUAGAGGGUUUCCGCCCUUUAGUGCUGCAGCUAACGCAUUAAGCACUCCGCCUGGGGAGUACGGCCGCAAGGCUGAAACUCAAAGGAAUUGACGGGGGCCCGCACAAGCGGUGGAGCAUGUGGUUUAAUUCGAAGCAACGCGAAGAACCUUACCAGGUCUUGACAUCCUCUGCCAACCCUAGAGAUAGGGCGUUCCCCUUCGGGGGACAGAGUGACAGGUGGUGCAUGGUUGUCGUCAGCUCGUGUCGUGAGAUGUUGGGUUAAGUCCCGCAACGAGCGCAACCCUUGAUCUUAGUUGCCAGCAUUCAGUUGGGCACUCUAAGGUGACUGCCGGUGACAAACCGGAGGAAGGUGGGGAUGACGUCAAAUCAUCAUGCCCCUUAUGACCUGGGCUACACACGUGCUACAAUGGAUGGUACAAAGAGCUGCGAACCCGCGAGGGUAAGCGAAUCUCAUAAAGCCGUUCUCAGUUCGGAUUGUAGG
Molecule: ribosomal RNA, 529 nt
Filed under: uncultured bacterium
Lineage: Bacteria
Description: bacterial SSU rRNA
Rfam family: Bacterial small subunit ribosomal RNA
Source: RNAcentral